RNAcentral lists this ribosomal RNA (499 nucleotides) under uncultured bacterium. RNAcentral describes it as "partial 16S ribosomal RNA". It matches the Rfam family "Bacterial small subunit ribosomal RNA", at positions 28 to 507 of the family's 1533-position model. The record is from RNAcentral.
GACGAACGCUGGCGGUAUGCUUAACACAUGCAAGUCGAGCGAUGUUUUCCUGGUGCUUGCCCUAAAGAAACUCAGCGCCUCACGGGUGAUAAAUUCGUUCAGACCCUACCUCAUAAACUUGGACAACCAUUUGAAACGAUGGCUCAUACCGCAUAAGAGUCUUCCUCGCAUGUCAGACUAUAUACAGAAGGUUACUCAAAAACUCUGAGUUGGCUUUCCGCUGCAUUAGCUAGUUGGUGGGGUAAAGGCCCACCAAGGCGACGAUGCAUAGCCGACCUGAGAGGGUGAUCGGCCACACUGGGACUGAGACACGGCCCAGACUCCUACGGGAGGCAGCAGUAGGGAAUCUUCCGCAAUGGGCGAAAGCCUGACGGAGCAACGCCGCGUGAGUGAAGAAGGAUUUCGGUUCGUAGAGCUCUGUUGUUAGGGAAGAAUGGAUAUGUAGUAACUAUACAUGUAAGAGACGGUACCUAACCAGAAAGCCACGGCUAACUACGUG